RNAcentral lists this RNase P RNA (411 nucleotides) under Erythrobacter sp. RNAcentral's name for it is "RNase P RNA component class A". It matches the Rfam family "Bacterial RNase P class A". From Rfam's summary of the family: Ribonuclease P (RNase P) is a ubiquitous endoribonuclease, found in archaea, bacteria and eukarya as well as chloroplasts and mitochondria. Lineage: Bacteria; Pseudomonadati; Pseudomonadota; Alphaproteobacteria; Sphingomonadales; Erythrobacteraceae. The record is from RNAcentral.
CCAGGGGGCUGGGCAGCCGCGUUCGGAGUAAUCCGACCGAGGAAAGUCCGGGCUCCACGAAACAAGGGUGGCGGGUAACGCCCGCCCGGCGAAAUCUUCGGAUCAAGCCGAGGGAAAGUGCCACAGAGAGUAUACCGCCGAUGGCCCCUAAAGGGCACAGGCAAGGGUGAAAGGGUGCGGCAAGAGCGCACCGGGGCUCUGGUAACAGUGUCCGCAUGGCAAACCCCACCCGGAGCAAGGCCAAAUAGAGGCCUCGCGCUGGAAAGCAGGGGCGUUUCGCCCUGAGAGGCCCGGGUUGGCUGCUUGAGCCAUGGAGCAAUCCAUGGCCUAGACGAAUGGCUGCCCUUGCAGGGCUGGUGCAUUUGCAUACCGCCUGCAGGACAGAACCCGGCUUACAGGCCCCCUGGCACC